CCUACGGGAGGCAGCAGUAGGGAAUAUUGGUCAAUGGGUGAGAGCCUGAACCAGCCAUGCCGCGUGCAGGAAGAAGGCCUUCUGGGUUGUAAACUGCUUUUGCCAGGGGAUAAAAUGCCCUUGCGAGGGAAAUUGAAGGUACCUGGUGAAUAAGCCACGGCUAACUACGUGCCAGCAGCCGCGGUAAUACGUAGGUGGCAAGCGUUGUCCGGAUUUAUUGGGUUUAAAGGGUGCGUAGGCGGUCCCUUAAGUCAGUUGUGAAAUACGGCAGCUUAACUGUCGAGGUGCAAUUGAUACUGGAGGACUUGAGUACAGACGAGGUAGGCGGAAUUGACGGUGUAGCGGUGAAAUGCAUAGAUAUCGUCAAGAACACCGAUAGCGAAGGCAGCUUACUAGACUGUAACUGACGCUGAGGCACGAAAGUGUGGGGAUCAAACAGGAUUAGAUACCCUGGUAGUC
RNAcentral lists this ribosomal RNA (459 nucleotides) under uncultured bacterium. Its description in RNAcentral is "bacterial SSU rRNA". It matches the Rfam family "Bacterial small subunit ribosomal RNA", at positions 338 to 795 of the family's 1533-position model. The record is from RNAcentral.